RNAcentral lists this ribosomal RNA (492 nucleotides) under uncultured bacterium. Its description in RNAcentral is "partial 16S ribosomal RNA". It matches the Rfam family "Bacterial small subunit ribosomal RNA", at positions 29 to 507 of the family's 1533-position model. The record is from RNAcentral.
AGUGAACGCUGGCGGUAGGCCUAACACAUGCCAGUAGAACGGCAGCACAGUAAGAGCUUGCUCUUACGGGUGGCGAGUGGCGGACGGGUGAGGAAUACAUCGGAAUCUACUUUUUCGUGGGGGAUAACGUAGGGAAACUUACGCUAAUACCGCAUACGACCUACGGGUGAAAGCAGGGGAUCUUCGGACCUUGCGCGAUUGAAUGAGCCGAUGUCGGAUUAGCUAGUUGGCGGGGUAAAGGCCCACCAAGGCGACGAUCCGUAGCUGGUCUGAGAGGAUGAUCAGCCACACUGGAACUGAGACACGGUCCAGACUCCUACGGGAGGCAGCAGUGGGGAAUAUUGGACAAUGGGCGCAAGCCUGAUCCAGCCAUACCGCGUGGGUGAAGAAGGCCUUCGGGUUGUAAAGCCCUUUUGUUGGGAAAGAAAAGCAGCAGGUUAAUACCCCGCUGUUCUGACGGUACCCAAAGAAUAAGCACCGGCUAACUUCGUG